Long non-coding RNA from Salvia miltiorrhiza (redroot sage), 709 nucleotides. RefSeq lists it as uncharacterized. The transcript has 2 exons. The record is from RefSeq and is a predicted model, not a curated record. NCBI's taxonomy places the organism in Eukaryota, Viridiplantae, Streptophyta, Magnoliopsida, Lamiales, Lamiaceae.
AGCCGCGAGGAAGAGAGGGAGAGUGAGGGCGAGAGCCGCCAGCUCCGGCGGCGGCGUUGCCGUCUGGUGGCGGCGGAAGGGUGAGACCGAGGGAGAGAAGGAGAGAGGGAGAAAGGGGAAGAAGGGAGCUGCGCAUGGAGCGUGUAUUGUGAAGUAGUGGUGUGUGUGUGAGAUCUUUAAGUUAGGGCAAGAGAGGAGAGUGGGCUUGGGCUCGGGCCUAAGCUAAUUUAUGAAUGGGCUAAGUUUAUCAAGUGUUUGGACUAGCAUUUUAUUUAGUUAAUUCUUUUAAGCAGUAAGCAUAAUUUAUUUAAGCCCAUAGUUACUCUUUUAAUUAUUAUUUCCAUUUCAGAUUUUCUAAAAAAAAAAACUUAUAUAAAUAAUUUUCUCAAGUUUAAUUAUAUUUAAAAUAUUUUAAUUAAGUCCUUAUGUUUUAUUAUUUGAAAUUAUCUGGCUAGGUGCGGCGCGAUUAGGACGUGAACUUUAAAUUAUCGCAGUUAACUUUCAAAGCUCAAGUUUCAGUUUCAGGUGAUUGAUACUGGAGGCGCGUGGAGAGUCGAAUGGGCGCGUCGAAUCUAUUUAAAAAUAAAUGUUUCUUAAAACAUAUUAUGUUAUUUCAUGUGAUAUCUUUUGGUUAUGUAAACUCUGAAAUUCUAUACUAUUUGAGAUUUGUGUGUGAUUUAUUUAAAUAAAUGUUGUUAUAUUAUUUUAA